CGGGAGGCUGCAGUAGGGAAUCUUCCACAAUGGGCGAAAGCCUGAUGGAGCAACGCCGCGUGUGUGAUGAAGGCUUUCGGGUCGUAAAGCACUGUUGUAUGGGAAGAACAGCUAGAAUAGGAAAUGAUUUUAGUUUGACGGUACCAUACCAGAAAGGGACGGCUAAAUACGUGCCAGCAGCCGCGGUAAUACGUAUGUCCCGAGCGUUAUCCGGAUUUAUUGGGCGUAAAGCGAGCGCAGACGGUUUAUUAAGUCUGAUGUGAAAGCCCGGAGCUCAACUCCGGAAUGGCAUUGGAAACUGGUUAACUUGAGUGCAGUAGAGGUAAGUGGAACUCCAUGUGUAGCGGUGGAAUGCGUAGAUAUAUGGAAGAACACCAGUGGCGAAGGCGGCUUACUGGACUGCAACUGACGUUGA
RNAcentral lists this ribosomal RNA (415 nucleotides) under Leuconostoc sp. B07_50. RNAcentral's name for it is "bacterial SSU rRNA". It matches the Rfam family "Bacterial small subunit ribosomal RNA", at positions 342 to 749 of the family's 1533-position model. The record is from RNAcentral. Lineage: Bacteria; Bacillati; Bacillota; Bacilli; Lactobacillales; Lactobacillaceae.